CAAUCCAGACUAUUUUUCAUUGUAGGAUGGUGUCAAGAAACAUGAAGAGCAAUAGUUUAUGGAUUCUUGGAGAAGAAAUAAGAAAAUAGGAAGAAAUACAGACAAAGGACAAUUUAUAACUUAUAGCAAUAGUAGGUAAACCAACCAGACUGGCCUGAGGUUACCAUUGAAAGAAAAAUAAAAGCAUCAUGCUUUUAUCAAAUGGUUUGGGCAAAGUCCUGAAUUUUCAAAAUUGGUCUCUCUACCCUCUUCAUCCUAAUUAUUACCCAGGAGGCAACUGAGAAGGAGUUGCAUUCAGUGAUAGAAUUAUCUAACUAAGGUGUGUGGGAUCAGGAGGAGAUUGAGGGAGGUAGAAUUGGAAAUCCCAUUGAGGAGGCUAUUCCAGUGUCCCACAGCACCAGAUGCCCAUGGAUGACAGGGAGCACAGAGGGUUCAUCAAAUACCUUGACUAUGAACCCACUGUUGAGUGGCUUUUGUGGUAAAAGGCAUACUAUUUCCAGACUGUUAAAGGUCCAGAUAGCCAAAAACAUGGCAUGGAUUAGUGUCAAGGGCUAAUCAAACUGUAACGGAAACACUAAAACCUAAAAAAGUGUCAACAGUAGUUAGCCCCUGGAUAUCCCUGAGAAGGAAUCAAAAGUCAAUUUUAGAUGAUCUGCCAUAGUGGGUGGGGUCAAUGCCUCACAUAAUGGGUUCUCCUUCAGUGCACAAACAGGUCUUUUGGCCUUGGUUCUGUAGUGGCACCACCACCCGCAAAAUCUUAAUUAAGCUGCUUCAGAAAUCUUCACCAUAAUUGAUCUUAGGACUAUCAGCAAAAGGCUCUGUGCAAGAGUUCAAUGUAAUUAAGCUUCCUAAUUCCUGUUGCUCUAUCCUACUUGGCCAUGGGAUGAAGGAAAUCAGCACUCCAGGUGCUGAACACUCCUUUACUAGUUUUUCAUAACAUUUAUGGGCUAUCUAGUGUUGUAGAUUCUCUAAUCUAAAACAAUAUAUGUAUAAUAGUUUGCAAAAGUUUUCAAGCUGGAAGUGUGUUUGCAAAUGCAGAGUGUGAUAAGGAAGACAGAUUCUUUUAACAAGGUCUCUGGACUUGAGCCAGCGAGCUUCCCAGGGAUAUUUACAUUUCAAAGAUAGGAGAUGAUGUUACUAAUUGGGUUCCAAGGAAACUGCUGGCAGAGGGGAAAAGAAGCUCUCCCUUCUCAAGCGCUGUCCUUGAAGUGUUAACUUGCCCAAAACAGUGAAAGAAAAAGCUGUUUUUGUGUGAACUUCUGCAGAUUAUGAACUUCUGAGCUCCUCCCCUUACACACUGGGUAUAAAGUUUUGAAACAUCCUGAACUUGGGGUUUCGGGGGAAUUGAUUGAUAUAGCGAAAGCUUUUCCCUCUGUACCUAGUUGCAGCCAAAUAAAUCUGCUUCCUCGUA
This 1411-nucleotide long non-coding RNA is filed under the name Marmota monax (woodchuck). Lineage: Eukaryota; Metazoa; Chordata; Mammalia; Rodentia; Sciuridae. The record is from RNAcentral.